GAUCAUGGCUCGGGAUGAACGCUAGCGGCAGGCUUAACACAUGCAAGUCGAGGGGCAGCGGGGUGUAGCAAUACACUGCCGGCGACCGGCGCACGGGUGCGUAACGCGUAUGCAACCUACCCAUAACAGGGGCAUAACACUGAGAAAUUGGUACUAAUUCCCCAUAACAUUCGAAGAGGCAUCUCUUUGGGUUGAAAACUCCGGUGGUUAUGGAUAGGCAUGCGUUGUAUUAGCUAGUUGGUG
This 243-nucleotide ribosomal RNA is filed under the name uncultured bacterium. Its description in RNAcentral is "partial 16S ribosomal RNA". It matches the Rfam family "Bacterial small subunit ribosomal RNA", at positions 15 to 254 of the family's 1533-position model. The record is from RNAcentral.